UACGAAGGGGGCUAGCGUUGCUCGGAAUCACUGGGCGUAAAGCGCACGUAGGCGGAUAUUUAAGUCAGGGGUGAAAUCCCAGAGCUCAACUCUGGAACUGCCUUUGAUACUGGGUAUCUGGAGUAUGGAAGAGGUGAGUGGAAUUCCGAGUGUAGAGGUGAAAUUCGUAGAUAUUCGGAGGAACACCAGUGGCGAAGGCAGCUCGCUGGGACGGUACUGACGCUGAGGCGCGAAAGCGUGGGGAGCAAACAGG
RNAcentral lists this ribosomal RNA (253 nucleotides) under uncultured bacterium. RNAcentral's name for it is "partial 16S ribosomal RNA". It matches the Rfam family "Bacterial small subunit ribosomal RNA", at positions 524 to 776 of the family's 1533-position model. The record is from RNAcentral.